ACAGGUGUUCCUUGGCGAGCCUCCUGGGAGGGCGCCCCACCCACCCUGCCUUUUCCUGCAGGGGGGACUGCAGCUCAUGGACUGGCAUGUUCCAUUCCUGUUCAGGAUUGUCUGAGGUGGUGUGGAGUCACCAGGAAGCUGAUGAGGAAUGAGAUCCAGGGAAUGUUCAUCACCCCCAAAAGAAAGCCUGUGUCCAGUGAGCAGAAACUAUCUAUGCACCCCGCUCCAAAACUCCUGGUGUCCACAAAUCUACCUUCUGUCUCUGUGGAUUUGCCUAUUCUGGACAUUUCAUGAAAGUAAAUCUUUCUUGGAAGCUCUCCCAGGAAGACUUUCUCUCAGAUUCCAUUACCCCGUCCUACUAUAAGGAGACUGGGAAAGUGACCGACAUUUCAUUCUCUAUCCUCUCAAACUGAUCCUCCCACUGACAGAUGAAGGGGAGUUCUCACAAUUGUCACCAACGGCAUCUAUGUCCUUGGGCAUGCCUCCCAGAAGAGAAAGAAGCACCUCUAGUGGGAAGAGGCCAGGAGUGCUACCAAAUGUCCUGCACACAACAGCCCCACCACCAAGAAUGACCUGGUGCAAGCUGUGUUUGACAAAGGCUGGUCUAGAAGAUCCUUCCAACAGGGAGGCUGGCUGAGAAAGAUCAAGCCUCAGCACUCAAGGCUGACCCCAGGCACCUCACAGCAGAAGGCAGAGCCCAAUAAGAAAAGUCGCAGCCGUAAGUAGGGCACUGGCCUGGGCUUUGUUGUCUGCUAAAGACAUCCGCUGCCCCCAGCGCUUUGUGCCUUUGGAUCUGGCUGCUGCUCCAUUGAGGCGGCAGCCUGUGAUCUCCUCCUUUUGCUGGAGCUCAAGCAGAACAAGGACGGAGUCUCAUUUGUCUGUCUGAGAUGGAGACUUUCAGAGCUUGGAAAAAUGAAGUGACAAAAGAAGCCAGCCAGCAAUUAGGUAAUGCCAGCCUGCCUGCCAGGCACCCAGCAAGGAGCCUGUCCUGGAGCUCACUGGUGGUGACACGUGGCCAGUGAUACCAGUCCCUUCCUUUUCUGGUGUGGCUCCAGGAAGUGUCUCCAGGACAGCAGCUUGCACACCCAGGAUCCCUAGCCAUCCAGUCCCUCCUCUAUCAAUCCCUGAGAGCUGGGAAGCCCUCCGCAGCCCUCAGAGGUGCCGAGGGACCCUCCCACACAGCUGCCUCCUCCCCCAGCUUCCCUCUCAGAUCCUCUACUGCAGAUGAACAAAUACAUUGCUUAUUCAGCUCUGAAUUUUCUCCCACAUUAUUCCUCCUAUCAAAAAAUCUUUACCAAAGCUCUGGAUGUCUUCUCUAAGUACCCACAUCCCCUUUCUACAACCAGGCAUUUGUUUUGGGGGGUUGGGUUUCUUUUCAGCCCAUGAAUUCUCUGGUUGUGAGUUUAAGUUCUGGCUUCACUAUUUGCUGACUGUGUGGGAAAGUCACUUAACCUCUCUAAACCUUAAUUAUCUUGUCACACAAUAAGUUAUAGACAUGUUUCCCCCAUCUGUUGUCUCAGCACCUUCAGAAUAGACCUUUAGCCAAGGAAUCAUAGAAAGUCUUGUUUUCCAAAUAAAGAAACAGAGAAGUUACACUCCUGCUCUGGAACACACAGCGAGGGGCAGCACUAAACUCAAAAUCCCCCCUCAUUCUACAGGAUCAGCAUGGGUAAGAAUCUUCUUUCGGUUUGCUUCUCAGAGCUGUUGUGAAGCUCAAAGGGC
Nycticebus coucang (slow loris) is the source of this 1722-nucleotide long non-coding RNA. RefSeq lists it as uncharacterized. The record is from RefSeq and is a predicted model, not a curated record. NCBI's taxonomy places the organism in Eukaryota, Metazoa, Chordata, Mammalia, Primates, Lorisidae. The transcript has 6 exons.